Ctenopharyngodon idella (grass carp) is the source of this 735-nucleotide non-coding RNA. The record is from the annotation of a RefSeq genome assembly. Lineage: Eukaryota; Metazoa; Chordata; Actinopteri; Cypriniformes; Xenocyprididae.
UUAUAAGUGUUUUUAAGUUUCUUUAUGGCUAACAUGUUUCACAUCAUGUGACUUUAUUUCAAUUGUGUAACACUUGUCAGAAACCAAAAGAGGGCGAUAUCUCUCAGUAUUACACUUAACAGAGAAGUUUCUUUUAGGUUUUCACAAGCUCCUCCUCAGAGUCUUUAUGAUAUUUAUGAAAGCAAAACUCUCUCAUUGACAGAUUUAUUUCGACUUCAGUGUCAAUUUAAAACAGAUCAUGAGGUGGAUGAGGAAUAUAUUUCUGUUUGCACUGUUCAGUCUUGAGUGCAGAUCAGAAGAGAAAGUUGAUCAGCCAGUCAAACAUGUGACUGAAGUUGAAGGAAAAUCAGUGACAUUAGAUUGUACAUAUACGACAACUUCAGCACAGGCAUACCUCUUCUGGUACAUCCAGAGAGCAAAUGACUUUCCUAAAUACAUCCUGAGAAGGGACAAGGUUGGAGUUGGAGAAAAUGGCACUGAGUUCCAGGAGAGAUUUCACUCUGAACUUUCAUCAAAUUCAGUUCCUCUGAUGAUCAAGGAUCUGCGUGUGUCUGACUCUGCUGUGUACUACUGUGCUCUGAAGCCCACAGUCACAGGAAACACAUCAGAUCUAUACAAAAACCUGUUACAAUGAGACAGAGACGAACACAGAUAGAAAGAAACUGUAACUGACAAUUACAGUAUUAUGUAUGUCAGAAAAGUAAUAGAACUAAUGAAUAAAUCACAGGUACCAAA